RNAcentral lists this ribosomal RNA (206 nucleotides) under uncultured bacterium. RNAcentral's name for it is "partial 16S ribosomal RNA". It matches the Rfam family "Bacterial small subunit ribosomal RNA", at positions 568 to 775 of the family's 1533-position model. The record is from RNAcentral.
UGCGCAGGCGGUUAUAUAAGACAGAUGUGAAAUCCCCGGGCUCAACCUGGGAACUGCAUUCGAGACUGCUUUGCUUGAGUAUGGGAGAGGGAGGCGGAAUUUCCGGUGUAGCGGUGAAAUGCGUAGAUAUCGGAAGGAACAUCAGUGGCGAAAGCGGCCUCCUGGACCAAUACUGACGCUCAUGUGAAAGCGUGGGAGGCAAACCA